CCCUUAGAUGUUCUGGGCCGCACGCGCGCUACACUGAUGAAUUCAACGAGCUCCUAACCUAGGCCGAAGGGUCCGGGUAAUCUUUGAAAUUUCAUCGUGAUGGGGAUAGAUUAUUGCAAUUAUUAAUCUUCAACGAGGAAUUCCUAGUAAGCGCGAGUCAUCAGCUCGCGUUGAUUACGUCCCUGCCCUUUGUACACACCGCCCGUCGCACCUACCGAUUGAAUGGUCCGGUGAAAUCUCGGGACGGCGGCUCGGUCGCUUGCGUCCGACUGCUGAAACUUGAUUAAACCAUAUCAUUUAGAGGAAGGUGAAGUCGUAACA
Molecule: ribosomal RNA, 321 nt
Filed under: uncultured eukaryote
Lineage: Eukaryota
Description: partial 18S ribosomal RNA
Rfam family: Eukaryotic small subunit ribosomal RNA
Source: RNAcentral